This 274-nucleotide long non-coding RNA is filed under the name Lathyrus oleraceus (garden pea). RNAcentral's name for it is "Pisum sativum (pea) long non-coding RNA (PSAT_LNC025807)". The record is from RNAcentral. Lineage: Eukaryota; Viridiplantae; Streptophyta; Magnoliopsida; Fabales; Fabaceae.
UUCAUUCUAUCAGAAUAAGCUUCAAAAUAUCAGAUAUGUUGCAUGAAGAGAGAAAACCAUAAUCGUUUGCAUUAUUGUGGUUCUUUUGAACCUUGAAGAGAUGGAAAAAAACAUCAUGGUCAGAUUACCUCCUUUAUACUCACACCAGUGAUGAAAUACCUUAGAAAAUGCAUAUCUCAGUGGAUACAACUUUGAAGGGGCGAUCAACAAAUGAUUCAACACACCGAUUUCAAAUUCGUUAUAGGGAAGACGAUAACAUAUGAUGGAGAACACA